RNAcentral lists this ribosomal RNA (497 nucleotides) under uncultured bacterium. RNAcentral describes it as "partial 16S ribosomal RNA". It matches the Rfam family "Bacterial small subunit ribosomal RNA", at positions 28 to 507 of the family's 1533-position model. The record is from RNAcentral.
GAUGAACGCUGGCGGCGUGCCUAAUACAUGCAAGUCGAGCGAACAGACGAGGAGCUUGCUCCUCUGACGUUAGCGGCGGACGGGUGAGUAACACGUGGAUAACCUACCUAUAAGACUGGGAUAACUUCGGGAAACCGGAGCUAAUACCGGAUAAUAUAUUGAACCGCAUGGUUCAAUAGUGAAAGACGGUUUUGCUGUCACUUAUAGAUGGAUCCGCGCCGCAUUAGCUAGUUGGUAAGGUAACGGCUUACCAAGGCAACGAUGCGUAGCCGACCUGAGAGGGUGAUCGGCCACACUGGAACUGAGACACGGUCCAGACUCCUGCGGGAGGCAGCAGUAGGGAAUCUGCCGCAAUGGGCGAAAGCCUGACGGAGCAACGCCGCGUGAGUGAUGAAGGUCUUCGGAUCGUAAAACUCUGUUAUUAGGGAAGAACAAAUGUGUAAGUAACUAUGCACGGCUUGACGGUACCUAAUCAGAAAGCCACGGCUAACUACGUG